GUGGGGAAUAUUGGACAAUGGGGGCAACCCUGAUCCAGCAAUGCCGCGUGUGUGAAGAAGGCCUUCGGGUUGUAAAGCACUUUCAGUAGGGAAGAAAAGCUUAAGGUUAAUACCCUUGGGCCUUGACGUUACCUAAAGAAGAAGCACCGGCUAACUCUGUGCCAGCAGCCGCGGUAAUACAGAGGGUGCAAGCGUUAAUCGGAAUUACUGGGCGUAAAGCGCACGUAGGUGGCUAGGUAAGUCGGAUGUGAAAGCCCCGAGCUCAACUUGGGAAUUGCAUUCGAUACUGUCUGGCUAGAGUAUGGUAGAGGGAAGUGGAAUUCCACAUGUAGCGGUGAAAUGCGUAGAUAUGUGGAGGAACAUCAGUGGCGAAGGCGACUUCCUGGACCAAUACUGACACUGAGGUGCGAAAGCGUGGGGAGCAAACAGG
Molecule: ribosomal RNA, 430 nt
Filed under: uncultured bacterium
Lineage: Bacteria
Description: bacterial SSU rRNA
Rfam family: Bacterial small subunit ribosomal RNA
Source: RNAcentral